This is a long non-coding RNA of Microplitis mediator, 374 nucleotides long. RefSeq lists it as uncharacterized. The record is from RefSeq and is a predicted model, not a curated record. Lineage: Eukaryota; Metazoa; Arthropoda; Insecta; Hymenoptera; Braconidae. The transcript is spliced from 3 exons.
UUGAUAAUAAAAAAAUACGUUAUUGCCAAGAUCACGGUCGUAGAUGCAGUUUUCAUAUUCUAUAAAUGUUAUAAUUUCCAACAAAAUCAAAGUCGUCUAUGGGAAAUUAAUAAUUUUACCAUAAAUUCGAUUACUCUACGCACAAAGUUCGGGUAUACUUGUACUGUAUUACAUACGUUCAUAUUUUUAUGAUUUCUCGGUUCAAGAUUUGCUAAUCUCAGGAGAGUAAAAUUAUUACCUUCUGAUUUAUCUAAUAGGUUCGGAAGGAAUACGGUACAGUAAUAUUUAAUGAUCCGAUUUUAGACCUAGAACAGAACUUGACCAAAAAAGAAAAGAAAAGACAAGGUUACCGAAAUUUUGUUCUUAAAAAAAAA